GUGAGGAAUAUUGCGCAAUGGAGGCAACUCUGACGCAGCCAUGCCGCGUGCAGGAAGAAGGCGCUACGCGUUGUAAACUGCUUUUAACCGGGAAGAAACCCCAGGACGUGUCCUGGGUUGACGGUACCGGAGGAAUAAGCACCGGCUAACUUCGUGCCAGCAGCCGCGGUAAUACGAAGGGUGCAAGCGUUAUCCGGAUUCAUUGGGUUUAAAGGGUGCGUAGGCGGAGCGUUAAGUCAGUGGUGAAAUCCUGCAGCUUAACUGUAGACUUGCCAUUGAUACUGGCGCUCUUGAGUGCGCUUGAAGUGGGCGGAAUGUGCCGUGUAGCGGUGAAAUGCUUAGAUAUGGCACAGAACACCAAUUGCGAAGGCAGCUCACUAAGGCGAUACUGACGCUGAGGCACGAAAGCGUGGGGAUCGAACAGGAUUAGAUACCUGGGUAGUCC
This 445-nucleotide ribosomal RNA is filed under the name uncultured bacterium. RNAcentral's name for it is "partial 16S ribosomal RNA". It matches the Rfam family "Bacterial small subunit ribosomal RNA", at positions 354 to 796 of the family's 1533-position model. The record is from RNAcentral.